CAAUAGCGUAUAUUUAAGUUGUUGCAGUUAAAAAGCUCGUAGUUGGAUUUUGGGUCGGGGGCACCGGUCCGCCGUUCCGGUGUGCACUGGUGGCCCCUUCCUUUCUGCCGGGGACGUGCGUCGCACUUAAUUGGGUGGCGUUCGGAGUCGGCGUUGUUACUUUGAAAAAAUUAGAGUGUUCAAAGCAAGCCAUCGCUCUGAAUACAUUAGCAUGGAAUAACAUGAUAGGACUCUGGUCUUAUUUUGUUGGUUUCCGAGACUGGAGUAAUGAUUAAGAGGGACAGUCGGGGGCAUCCGUAUUUCAUUGUCAGAGGUGAAAUUCUUGGAUUUAUGAAAGACGAACUUCUGCGAAAGCAUUUGCCAAGGAUGUUUUCAUUA
Molecule: ribosomal RNA, 378 nt
Filed under: uncultured eukaryote
Lineage: Eukaryota
Description: partial 18S ribosomal RNA
Rfam family: Eukaryotic small subunit ribosomal RNA
Source: RNAcentral